UUGGUCAAGAUUGAUUCCAAAUGGUAGAGGACCUAUCAAUCCCAAGGCAUUAGAGUUCUACAACAAUCUUAUCAAUGAACUGAUCAGCAAUGGAAUCCAACCACAUGUGACACUAAACAACUUUGAUUUUCCACAAGCACUUGAAG
This is a long non-coding RNA of Arachis stenosperma, 146 nucleotides long. RefSeq lists it as uncharacterized. NCBI's taxonomy places the organism in Eukaryota, Viridiplantae, Streptophyta, Magnoliopsida, Fabales, Fabaceae. The transcript has 3 exons. The record is from RefSeq and is a predicted model, not a curated record.